Molecule: ribosomal RNA, 497 nt
Filed under: uncultured bacterium
Lineage: Bacteria
Description: partial 16S ribosomal RNA
Rfam family: Bacterial small subunit ribosomal RNA
Source: RNAcentral
GAUGAACGCUGGCGGCGUGCCUAAUACAUGCAAGUCGAGCGAACGGACGAGAAGCUUGCUUUUCUGAUGUUAGCGGCGGACGGGUGAGUAACACGUGGAUAACCUACCUAUAGGACUGGGAUAACUUCGGGAAACCGGAGCUAAUACCGGAUAAUAUUUUGAACCGCAUGGUUCAAAAGUGAAAGACGGUCUUGCUGUCACUUAUAGAUGGAUCCGCGCUGCAUUAGCUAGUUGGUAAGGUAACGGCUUACCAAGGCAACGAUGCAUAGCCGACCUGAGAGGGUGAUCGGCCACACUGGAACUGGGACACGGUCCAGACUCCUACGGGAGGCAGCAGUAGGGAAUCUUCCGCAAUGGGCGAAAGCCUGACGGAGCAACGCCGCGUGAGUGAUGAAGGUCUUCGGAUCGUAAAACUCUGUUAUUAGGGAAGAACAUAUGUGUAAGUAACUGUGCACAUCUUGACGGUACCUAAUCAGAAAGCCACGGCUAACUACGUG